This 219-nucleotide unclassified non-coding RNA is filed under the name Hevea brasiliensis (rubber tree). Lineage: Eukaryota; Viridiplantae; Streptophyta; Magnoliopsida; Malpighiales; Euphorbiaceae. The record is from RNAcentral.
AAGCUAAACAUAUAUCAAUACUCCCAUUAACACCAAACUCACUCUUCAAGGAAAGAGCCUUGAGUAACUGGUCAAAAGAUGACAACAUCUUGCUGAAUAUAUCACCAGAACUACUUGAAACUGAUUUCACAGAGGUUCUCCUGGUUCUGAAAGGUAAAUUUUUUAGAUCAACUAAAAUCUUUCUGAAGAUCUCAAGAAUUUCAGCAGCUGCCUUUUUAG